This is a long non-coding RNA of Cavia porcellus (domestic guinea pig), 2235 nucleotides long. RefSeq lists it as uncharacterized. The record is from RefSeq and is a predicted model, not a curated record. The transcript has 3 exons. NCBI's taxonomy places the organism in Eukaryota, Metazoa, Chordata, Mammalia, Rodentia, Caviidae.
UAUUAUUUUUAAAAACCAUAAAUAUACAUAUAUAUGUGUACAUAUAUUUACAUUUUAACCAGAAAGGCAUGCCGCGGUUUUAAGUAAUCAAUUGAGGACUAAAACAUUAAACAAGGUGCCACAAGACAAGACCAACAUUUGAGACACAAACAAAGGUUGUUUUGUGCACAGUUUGGUGAGCUAAAGGAAAUAAUUUUUCUUAUGAACCUUGAGUCCAAUGAGCAACGUGGAUCUUGCAACUGAAAUGGGCAACAAGCCCCUAAGUUAAUAAUAAAUUUAACAAUUUUAAAUGGGCAAAAAAAAAAAACCCCAAAGUUAGUAACGGAUUCUAACAGGCAGACAAUUUUAACGUACAAAAACACUAAACAUAAAUACACACGGGCAAAAAGCCCCAAAGUUAUGGAGGGGUCGAAACCCCCAAAUGGGCUGAAACCACACACAUGGGCUGAAGCCCCACAUUACAAAUGGGAGAUAGCCCCCCGGAUUCCGGUGCAGAAGGAGCCCUAGCUUGUCUGCAGUCAUUGGGCACAUCCAAUUACUAACAGGCAUAAAAUCCCCACCUGGGCUGAAGCCCAAACAAAGUUAGGAAUGGGUCCCAAAAGCCCUAAAAUUCUGGGGGGAAAAAGACCCCCAGAAGUUGUCCCAUUUUAUCUGCAGUUAUAAAUGUGUGCAGUCAGAUUACAAACAGGCAAAAAAAAAACACACAAACAAACAAAAACAAAAACCAAAUACAGAUGUUUAGACGAUUGAUCAGUGAAAAAAUAAUUUUGGGGGGGUCCCCCAUUAAUCCCAACUUGAAUCUUGUAAGCCACAUACGAGCCCCCAUACUCGAGUUCAAUAAAUGAGGCCAAAACAUAUUUUAAAAAGCAGCACUGAUUUAUUUUAUGCUGGACCCAGCAAAAGCUGUGUGUGUGCCGCCUCCCAUACUUGCAGCCUUUAUAUACAUAUCACUGUUUACAGAGUAAGGGGUUUGGGCGGAUCAGGAGACAGCUAAUGGGGAAGAUGCUGUUUUCCUCAGCAGAGAACAGAGGAGUCUAGCAGCAAUUAACAACCUUUUGUUACCUUAUUUUAGCACCUCAUCUGUUAUUUGUAGAGGGCAGCAAUGGUUAACAUAUCAGUUAGGUCACCCAGAGGAAGAAAGGAGAAGAAAAACAUAUACAGUACAGUUAGGGUCACAUUACAGGUAUUUUGGUAUAAUACAAAUAUAACGAUGCUCUUUUUUAUAGUGUACAACAGUUCUCCCCUUGGAAGGGCUGCAGUCUGCCACACCACAGUCGCCUACCAGGGAGGGGAGCUGCUUGCUUAGUUUCCCAGCAUCCUAAGUUCCAACAUGGCCUGGAUCUCAGGAGUCACAGGUGGUUCUUCCUAGAAGGGCCACAGCCGACCUCACCACAGCCGCUUACCAGGGAGAGAUCGAACUCAGGACCUUGCACUUGCCAGAUUAAGACUUUCUAUUCUUCAGGAGGCCAAGGCAAGAGGAUCACUGCAAUUUUGAGGUCAACCUGGGCUACAUAGUGAGUUCAUGCCCAACAUGAACUACAUAGUAAGACCCUAUCUAAAACAAAACAAAAAUUCUAUUCUUUGGAAACAGAUUGCAUGCAGUGUUUCUUCACAUUUUUUAUACCUUAGGAUAAGUAAGUUUAUUAAAUCUAUGUGUUAUUAUCUAUUUUUUAUUGCAAAGGUUCUGUUGAUUUUCUGUCAGCUUUUGAUUUAUAUAUUUCAAAGCUAAUAGAAACAAAUAUACCUUUUUAAUUUUUUUUUCCUUUUAGCUAUAGGGAAUUUCCUUUUUAGGAUUUCCAAACACCUUUUUUUCUCCUUGGGUCUAUCCUUUUUAAUAUAAAGACUGUUACUAGCUUCAUUUUUAUGUUUUGGUUAGCAUAUUUAAUACAUUGGUAUAUUUUUGAAUUUUCCAGGUGUUUUACAUCUGUCUAAUUUUUUCCUUGAGUAAAUGUUUCUCAGAGUGUCAUAAUUUUGGUUAAUUUACAAAGUCUUUAAAAGUUGAUUUUCAAAUACACUGCUUGAGUUAUGUUCAGGCCACUCAGGUCUCUAAUAGAAAAAUGUAUAUGCUUAUAUGAUCUUCCUUUUCCCCUAUGGGUGGUGAGUUGUGUAUUAACACUAAAGAAACUGAUGUGAUUGUCAGCAUUAUGUUUUAUUUUAUUGUUAUCAUGAUGCCUUUUUAUAUGUCUCUGAGUUGUUCAUUGUUAUUGGCAAUGCAAAAUAAAUUUAGCUUCCUUA